CCUUCUUUCUUUCGUUCCUUCCUUCCUUUCUCUUCCUUCCUUCCUUUCUCUUUCUUUCUUUCCUCAUUUAUUCAUUCAACAAAAACUAUGAAGUGGAAAUUUUGUGCCUUCAUAUUUGCAGAGCAGACAAGAGAGGAGAGCAAAGGCUUGUAUAACACAUUGGUACUCUGAAAUUUUCCAGGCCUGUUCUUUGCUGAGACCAGAGAAAUAAACAGUUUAUUCCUGUUUGAAAGAUCUCUCUCUCUACAACCUCUGAAAACAUCUGUAAUGAUGCAGGUGUGGUAGGGGACUGAUAAGCAACAUUUCCUGAACAUAGUAAAAUGCGUAAACUUUUACUACAUGCCCAAUCACAGGUAUGUGGGGUGAUUUUUGUAGACAGAAAGGAAAGGAUACUUCCAAAUGCCAGGUUUCACUGUAUAACAAUAAUUCAAUGGAAAACCUCAAAUUUUUCUAUGAAAGCAACAAUAUGACAAAUAUUAUAUUGUAUAUUAUUAUAAUAUUAUAAAGGAAUCAUCAGAUGAUCCUGCCAAGAAAAAAAAUACCUUGUAAAAUCCUGUGGCAGCUGUGUAGGUAAUAAUCUCACCUCAGAGCCUUGGUACAGGCUGUGCCCUCUGUGGGGAGCACGUUUCACAAAGCUAGUUCCCACUUUACCUUUCAGGCAUCAGAUUCAAUGCCACAUACCCAGAGAAGCCCUCAUGAACACCCUAUAUAUAGUAAAUGAGACUUUAUCUUUCCUUCUUUCAGAUUCGUGUUAAUCUCCUUCAUAUUUGUAUGGCAUUUUAAUUGCUUCAUUUUAUAUGUACUUUUGUCGGUCAUCCCAUGAGAAUAUCAGCUCAACAAGGGCAGGGACCAUGUCUCCACUGUCUUUCCAGUACCAGUCUAGUCCUGGCUUAGAGGAGACCCUUAGGGAAAAAGCUAAUGAUCUACAUUUAUAUGGAGAACACAUUCAUUUCUUUUUAAUACACAGGUCUACAUCUUGUUUGCUUCUAUGCCCAAGAAACAAGUUGCUGUGAGUUGAUUGUGGUGUUUGUUAACUUAUUGAUUACAAAAUCAGGCUGUGUCUUACCACUCUGGAUCCUUUUGAAAGAUUACAUUUUACCUCUGACAUAUUUUCUAUCUAACUCAAGUCUUUUGCAAUUUGUAAGGUGCUGAUGGUCAUCAAGGUCCCACCCAUUUACAGCCUUCAUUCCUGCACUAACAUACACACAAAGUUUUCAUGCAGACAAAACAAUAUUGUGGGAAUUAAAACAUCUUCAGUAACCUCAGAGAUGGAUGGCCUUACAGUGGCCAUGACCUCAAGAUUUUCUUGGGGCCCAAGUGUAACUAUGUAGAUCCUAAAUUCACAUUGGGAGCUUCACUCUUGGGUGAUUCUCCCAUAAGAACCUAAGAACCAAGGCAACCUCUCACCUAGAUACUAAUUCUCUGCAAAGCAGAGUAGAUGUGCAGCAUGAAUUGCUUUGCUGCAAAAUUGAUAAAGGAGAAAGAAUAAUAUGGUGGCAGAAUUGCUAUAUUUUCAUUUACUUUUAUGUGGUUUAAGGAGGAGAUUCCUUGCUUGUUAGAAUGUCACACAAACCAAAGACCACAGCUUUAAGCCAAAACUUGAGCAAAAUUACAUUUUAUAAAGUGCUUCUCUUCUCUGUAGACUAUUAAAUAUCAGGUAUCAGUUCUUUCUUCAGAAGUCAUCUGUAAAAUGAAUUAUAAAAUCAGUUGUACUACUUUGUCUCCAUGAAUUUUCAGGGUCUAAUGUAUAAUUUAACCAAAAUAGCAUGCAUCUUCUGGAAAAAUAUUGCUGAGAUUUAUUUCCUUUUUGUUUCUCAGACUUUCCAUGAAGGUAUAUAAUAGAUUUGGGACUAUUGUUUAACAAGUUAUUUGAAUGUCACUGGAAGUAUCAGAUCAGAUGUUCAGGAGGUGCUCAAUGAAUACUCAGGCAAAUCACUGACUCUUUCUAAGCCUCAGCUCCCUCAUCAAUGAGUGGAAUUAAUAACCACAUCAUAAAGUUAUUAGAGAAUUAAAUGAGAUACUGCUUUGUAUGCUGCCUGGUACAAAGGUUGCUAUUACUGUUUGCAUAUCUGAUCCUAUAAGCCUUUGUAGGUUACAGGGCUUUUGUACCUUCAACAUGUUCAUAUAAAUAUAAGACUAUGCAUUUCAUAUUUCAGUUCCAAAAAUGGGGUAAUAGUUGAGUAAAAAAACACAAAGAUGGGCUUAGAGACAAAUUGGAAGCUGUAAGUGAACACAGCCAUCCAACUAUGAGAAACAGUUCUGACACUUUUCAAGCCUUACCUCGCCCUCCCCCCAUUCUGUCUCAGAUCCGGACAAGCUAUUAAGAAGGCCCAGGUGCUGUGCCACAAGCAAUUCCAGACUUCUGUGGAUUCCCUCUUGUUCGGUAAAGUCUUACCACGGCAUCAUGGAGAUCCUUAGGAUAUCUUCCAGUGAACCAGAACAUCCAGAGAAUGACUCUGAGUGAGCGGCUACUGGCCCCCUUCUUCAAGAUGAAAGAAGCCUCUUCAUGGACUCCUCAUCCUGAAGCCACUCUACAAACGCAAGUCCUUGACACUGAUGUAACAUGGGGAACCUUUAAAACACCUGUCUAACCAGGCCGGCAUCCUCUUACAACACAACAAUAUUGCAUAUACCCCUAAUUCACAUCUGAUAGCCAUGACUUCUGCCAUUAACAAAAAUUCAAUAGGUGUAAGCCUAAUUCUACUCCUUGCCCUCAUUUGUCCAGGCCAAGCUCAAUAUUCAUAUUGGGCUCAUCUCCUUAACCCACCUAUAUUUGAUAGCUUAACACUCCUAGCCUGGGAUAUUCCUGUUAGCAAUAAUGAUAGAGUUCAUGGAAGGAGCCCAUCUUAACCCGCCCUUCCAAACUGAACAAGAGCAUUGGCUUUAUAUGCCAAGACCUCAAUGGUGGCUUCCUCCAGCACCUCCUAUGUGUGUUACUAAACUCAGCAAUUUAUCUGCUUGUCUCCAACUAAAAAUCAACUGCCUUUCACAUGCACAGCCAGCCCAAAACCUCUACAAAGCCAGACGAUUUUACCUUUUUCACAGCCAUAAGCUUUGAUAUACCUUAAAAAAUAAGCAUAU
Leopardus geoffroyi (Geoffroy's cat) is the source of this 3081-nucleotide long non-coding RNA. RefSeq lists it as uncharacterized. The record is from RefSeq and is a predicted model, not a curated record. Lineage: Eukaryota; Metazoa; Chordata; Mammalia; Carnivora; Felidae. The transcript has 4 exons.